AAGGAAUAGCUUAGAGUGGUAGAUCCGCUAUCAGGAAACAAUAAAUGUUCAUUUUUAACAAUAUAGGACGCGUUGCCUUGGAAAGCCGCUAGAAGCUGCUUUCCGAAAAGACAGUCUGGUGGAAGUCCGCGGUAUCCAGCCAGCCCGCGGGUAAGACCGGAACACGAUAGUGACAGGCGUUGGCCUAGAAUGCGAUAUUAGAGCGCAUGUGUAAGGCAGGUAAUGAGGUUCAAGCAAAUUGAUCAAGAAUAUGUUUACAUAGAACGACUUGCUUUUUAUUACAACAAGAGAUUUCCAUCAUAAUAAGCAUAGCCUUUCGUCAGCAGAGAGAAAUACCUGUUUUGUCGAUAAUCAGUUCCGAGAGUCACUCAAUGAACUACGUAGACCACCGUUGCUGAAACUGUCUUUAGUCUUUAAUAUGUUAAUAGUCUUUAAUCCUUGACAGAUACACAAAUACCGGUAAAUGAACUCACAGGGGAUGAUGUACUUAAAAGGGAGACAUUUGCUCUACGUCAGACCAAAGGCGGUGACUAGUAUCCACGUAGAAUUUCACUUUCUGUGUUGAGAUAGUUGUGAACCCUUGGGUAUCCAGCCUAUGGUUGAGAGAUGGAGGAAAUAGAGGUAUGAAUCUUGACAACUAUCGAAACUGUCGAACACGGGAAACAUAAGGCUAGUGGGGAUUAAAAGUCCGUCCGUCCGUCGUGGAGCAAAUAAACUUUGAACCCAGAGAAGCGGCUGGAACCAGGAGAUCCGUAAUCACGAAGUCCGGCUCGAGGCUGGUGUCCCUCUUAAAUAGAAUGAUCUUAAUGUGACCUUUUUCUCACCUUAUUCCCAGGGACAGAGGGAAUGUUUUAUUUUACAAUACUUCGGAAUGCUAGGUGUUAGUCUCUUCCUUCAAAUCCGACACUCGCACAUUAUCGUAGUUUGCGAUUUAUUGUUAUCGGGGACAAGAGUCCGUGAGAUAGUCGAAAUACUACGCGGUGCGUCGCUACAAUUCACCAUGUUUAUUUUAACAGUGUUUUACUUCUCCCUUUUCUCUUGUUUUGACUUAAUGGCGAUCGGAAACCGAGGUGGGAAGUGACAAAACAUAGAUGUGCCUUGCUCGAUUCUCCACACUAGUCUUAACUACUAGAAGUUAUCCGCUGCCGUGCUAGUGCAGCGAAGUUUAGAGUGGAUGCAAGUAGCUACAAAGAUGGCCGAUUCUCUUCAAAUGGUGUUUGUUAAGUUUGAAUGAGAGAGAGAUAACGAUUUAACAAUGUAGGUUACAGAAGACGAAUAUAGGAAAGUUAUUGAAGGUGAGCAUUUGCUUUAAUUUAUUUUUAAAUAGGCUUUAUUUACUUCAAAAUAACACAAGGAAGGUGAUCUAAUUGUAGACGGGUAUGUGUAGACGACUAUUGCCAACUUUACAAUUUUAAUUUCACUUUAAACAGGUCUAUUCUUUUGCCUACAUUAAAUAUCAAUUAAAAGGAUUUUAUAAAACUGUAGUUUAACAGAAAAGUAUGUGAAGUUUUAGGAACAAGUAUUAAAUUCUUUUAUUAGCCAAAUUAAUCAAUAUACUAUAAUUUCAUACGAAUCCCUUUGCAUUGGAACUAAUAAAGCGAAAAUGAUAUGAUGCUAUACCUGAUGCUAACCCAUUUACAAAAAAAGAAAUUAAAGAUUGAAUCUUAUUCAUCAGUUCAAGGUUAUUUUCUAUCAAUGUUUUAUCUCUAAUCAGUUACAAUUAAAAAUAAUUUUUAAAAACUGUUUUAAUUAAUUCAGCAUAACUUUGUUCAUUUACUUUUACUUUCUUCGUAAUAUUUUCACAAUCAUAUUGUAUUAUGUUCUACAAUGUUUAACGGUUAAUUUAUAGUUUAAAUAAAUUAUUGUAUAUUUUGAUAAAUAAUUUAAAAUACUAAAAUACUUAUUAUAUUAUAUUAAAAUACAGUGGGGUAUGCUACAACGAAUUAAUUGGUUCUAGAACGUUGUUCGUUGUAGCAUCUCUUCGUUCUAAUAUA
This 1994-nucleotide long non-coding RNA is filed under the name Androctonus crassicauda. Lineage: Eukaryota; Metazoa; Arthropoda; Arachnida; Scorpiones; Buthidae. The record is from RNAcentral.